Non-coding RNA from Brassica napus (rape), 125 nucleotides. Lineage: Eukaryota; Viridiplantae; Streptophyta; Magnoliopsida; Brassicales; Brassicaceae. The record is from Rfam.
GGAAUAUAAGAACCCGUCUCUUAACUUUUAACUAAAAAAGCUAAAAACCGGUUCUUAAAUAAGAUACUUAAGAGCCGGUUCUUAGUUUUUUUAGUUAAAAGGUAAGAGACAGGUUUUUAUAUUCC